AUGUCUUUGAUAUGGGAAGUAGUAGUUGUAGUUACUAUUGUGUCUGUGUUGUAUGAGUUGCUAAAUAUACAUAAUAGAAAAAAGUUACCUCCAGGUCCAAGAGGGCUUCCCAUUCUUGGACAUCUUCAUUUGUUAGGGAAAAACCCUCACCAUGAUUUUCAAAACUUAGCCAAGAAACAUGGUCCAAUUAUGUAUAUGAGACUAGGACUAGUACCUACAAUCGUUGUCUCGUCUACUGAUGUAGCUGAGAAAAUCCUCAAGACGUAUGAUCAUAUCUUUGCUAAUAAGCCUCAUAACGAGGCAGCUCAUUAUUUGGCGUAUGGACAGAAGAAUAUUAUAUUUGCAAAGUAUGGACCAUACUGGAGAAAUAUGCGUAAAUUGUGCACUCAACAUCUUUUGACUAAUCAAAAGAUCAAUUCAUUUCAAUCCUUGAGAAGACAACAAGUUGAGCUUAUGAUCAAAUCACUUCAAAAUGAAGGUCGUGUUGUUGUUGAUCUUAGUGAAAGAGUCGCGUCCUUGAAUGCUAACAUGACUUGUUUGAUGGUGUUUGGAAAGAAGUAUAUGGACGAAGAUUUAAAGUUGUACUUCAAGAAGUUGUUCAUUUAGCUGCAGUAACUAAUCUUGGAGAUUUUUUCCCCUUUCUUGGUGUAAUUGAUCUCCAGGGACUCACACGCCGACUCAAGGAUCUUUCAAAGGUGUUUGAUGAGUUUCUUGAGAAGAUUAUCAAUGAACAUGUCGAGUCUCAUGAUAAAAAUCAAUCCAAAGACUUUGUGGAUACGUUGUUGGACAUUAUGCAAUCAGGAAAAAUGGAAUUUCAGUUUGAUCGUAUCCAUAUAAAAGUUGUCCUCUUCGACAUGAUUGUUGCAGCAAUUGACACUUCAGCAGCAUCAAUAGAUUGGAUACUAACAUAGCUUCUUAGACACCCUCAUGUGAUGAAGAAACUACAAAACGAGUUAGAACAAGUGGUAGGCCUUGAAAGAAUGGUAAAAGAAUCCGACUUGGAGAAUUUGAAGUACUUAGACAUGGUUGUAAAAGAGGGAAUGAGGCUACAUUGUGUAGUGCCAGUAACGCAACGUGAGGCCAUGAAAGAUUGUGUAGUUGAUGGCUUCAACAUACGAAAGGGAACACGAAUCAUGAUAAAUCAUUAUGCAAUUCAGAGGGAUCCAAAUGUUUGGUCCGAACCUGAGAAGUUUAUGCCGGAGAGGUUUAUUGGGAGCAGUGUAGAUGUUCGUGGACGUGACUUCCAACUUUUACCAUUUAACUCUGGCAGAAGAAGUUGCCCUGCAAUACAAUUGGGGAUUAUCGUUGUCCGCCUUGUCGUUGCGCAAUUGGUGCAUUGCUUUGAUUGGGAGCUUCCAAAUGAUAUGCGGCCUUGUGAUUUGGACCUUGAGGAGCACUUUGGAAUAGUAACAUCCAAAGAAAAAUAUUUAAUGGCUAUUCCUACUUAUAGACUAAAUGAACAAUGAAAAUACAAGUUUUCAUUUAGAUACCACGAUUGUACUUUUGAAAGUUU
RNA transcript from Solanum verrucosum, 1513 nucleotides. It is a transcript of the gene named cytochrome P450 71AU50-like, with no coding region annotated. The transcript has 3 exons. The record is from RefSeq and is a predicted model, not a curated record. NCBI's taxonomy places the organism in Eukaryota, Viridiplantae, Streptophyta, Magnoliopsida, Solanales, Solanaceae.